Molecule: transfer RNA, 91 nt
Filed under: Spirochaetes bacterium ADurb.Bin269
Lineage: Bacteria; Pseudomonadati; Spirochaetota
Description: tRNA-His
Source: RNAcentral
GCCCGGAUGCUGGAGAAGGCACGAGUUUGCCGGUGGCGCAGAUUGAUGAUCCGGUUGUUAUCCGUUUCAGUUCCGCUUCUGUGUCCGGGCU